AGUGGUUAGUACGACAAUGGUACGACUGCCUGCGAAGCAGAAAGUUCCGGGUUCAAUUCCCGCUGGGUUCACUC
Phthorimaea operculella (potato tuberworm) is the source of this 74-nucleotide non-coding RNA. NCBI's taxonomy places the organism in Eukaryota, Metazoa, Arthropoda, Insecta, Lepidoptera, Gelechiidae. The record is from the annotation of a GenBank genome assembly.